Molecule: long non-coding RNA, 668 nt
Organism: Calidris pugnax (ruff)
Lineage: Eukaryota; Metazoa; Chordata; Aves; Charadriiformes; Scolopacidae
Exons: 6
Source: RefSeq, a predicted model, not a curated record
CUAGAGGAAGUUUACUACCUCUGCUUGAUCACAUUGUGUGUGAGAACACAGUAUCAGCCACAGUAUCUGCACUGAACCAUCCCGCAUUUUCAAUUACUUCAACUUGGUUGUAGGUGGGAGAUGAGACUUCAGGAUCUGACAACACUCAGAACCAAGGUUCAUAGACGCCAAAUCCUCUCAAUUGUUGGCAAGAAACAGAGGGCUGAGACUCCUGCCUCGAUGUCAUUGGAGGAAGACGCAUGCUGUUUUGCCCUUGACUUGAAAAUUCUGCAAACUUCAGAAUUGCCAGAUGUCAGUGGAUCAUUGUCUAGCAUUUUAGGAGGGAUAUGAGGAAGCCUAGAGCAAUUCCAGGCUAUGACAGAUGCAGGAGACACCUGCACCACAGCAGUGAAGUGACUCCCAGACGGAGCUGGGGUGCUCCAGGCCUUGGGGAGUGGAUGCAGCGCUACCAGCCCACCUGCAGUGAAGCUGUGUUCAGAGGACAGAGCGCUCAAGCCAUCAUUAAUCUGAUUGAUACAACUUGACUCCCAUCUACUAAAUGCUUCUCAGAAGAUGCCUUGGUGUCUUUCCCUUCCAGCAACCUAAUUUCAUCUACAUCAAAUCUCAAACUUUCGUGACUAAGCCUGGCUAGCUCUUUGAAGGGCACCAGAAGUAAGCUGUAAGGUAAG